Molecule: ribosomal RNA, 498 nt
Filed under: uncultured bacterium
Lineage: Bacteria
Description: partial 16S ribosomal RNA
Rfam family: Bacterial small subunit ribosomal RNA
Source: RNAcentral
AUUGAGCGCUGGCGGCAUGCCUUACACAUGCAAGUCGAACGGUAACAGGUCUUCGGAUGCUGACGAGUGGCGAACGGGUGAGUAAUACAUCGGAACGUGCCUAGUAGUGGGGGAUAACUACUCGAAAGAGUGGCUAAUACCGCAUGAGAUCUACGGAUGAAAGCAGGGGAUAGCAAGACCUUGUGCUACUAGAGCGGCCGAUGGCAGAUUAGGUAGUUGGUGGGAUAAAAGCUUACCAAGCCGACGAUCUGUAGCUGGUCUGAGAGGACGAUCAGCCACACUGAGACUGCGAAACGGCCCAGACUCCUACGGGAGGCAGCAGUGGGGAAUUUUGGACAAUGGGCGCAAGCCUGAUCCAGCAAUGCCGCGUGCAGGAUGAAGGCCUUCGGGUUGUAAACUGCUUUUGUACGGAACGAAAAGCCCCGGGUUAAUACCCUGGGGUCAUGACGGUACCGUAAGAAUAAGCACCGGCUAACUACGUGCCAGCCGCCGCGGUAA